Molecule: non-coding RNA, 4011 nt
Organism: Ictidomys tridecemlineatus (thirteen-lined ground squirrel)
Lineage: Eukaryota; Metazoa; Chordata; Mammalia; Rodentia; Sciuridae
Source: RefSeq, a predicted model, not a curated record
GGUAAAAACCAUUUUCUGGUGUCACUGGUUUACUUUGCUUAAACCCAUGUCUGUAUUGCCUGUUUUCUGGUGGACAUUUUUAUCAUUGCCUAAGGAGACUUAGGGACUUUUUCCCUUAAAAAAGUGACUUGUUCCUUUGUAAGCACUAAAAUGAGAAUGACAUGAAUAACUUCUCUCUGCAGUGUGAUCCCAAGAUCAUGGACAGUUCUGUCAUAGCAAAAAUAGCAGCUACACAAACAACAACAACAUAUCAUAUCAUGUGAAAAUAUUGACAGGAAGAGGCCUAGAAGGCACAGUUCUCUGGAACUUUCCAAAUGCAAGAGGCUAUAUUCACUGGAUAGAUGUCUCAGCAGUCUCAACAGUGAACUGCAGGAAGAGGAAGAGAAUGACUUCCUGCUGGAUGAAAAGUAUUUUCUACCCUCUGAUCAUCCUGAUUUCAUCUGACACACAAGAACUCAGGAGCUCUGUGUUCCCAUCAGAUGAGCCUAAAGUCAGCUGAGCUAUGGAUCGAGCCAAGCUGGAGUUGGAUACUUGCAUUAAGUUGAAGAACCCUCCCAAGCUAGUGAGUGAUGCCCUUGGAGGCUGAGCUGUCAAAACACCUGAGUGUGAGCUUCAUGUUCUCAUUGAAACUAUGAGUGUCCUGACACUGAAAAGAAAACAACUCUUCAGCAAUUGGAGAAUGGCCUUCAAGCUCUUGGUAGAGUGGUUGGCUUCUGUGGCUCUGGGAUGCACUUACCUAUGUUAGCUCUCUCUGUAAGGAUGUAGCUCCUUCUGCUGUGAUUUCUCUUCACCAUUGGUUCUUUCCAACAGCAGAUGGAGACUGUCUGGUCUUACCUCUCUUUUUCAUGGUCUCCCACCCUGACAGGCCCUUCCAUCUCCAUCGCCUGUUUGCAUUCUGAACUCUGCUCUGUUCCUAUAUCUUCUGUCCUGAUAUUACCUGUAACUGUCACAGGAAAGCCCAGCUCAAUGGGGGUCCUAAUCCCAUGAAGAGCAUCUUUUCAGCCACAUGCCACCUUCCCUGUGAUCGCAUGCUGUCUAGGCUUUUUUGCCUUCUCUUCCCAGCUUCCUUGACUCCACUGCCUCUUUCUUCUGGGAACAUGGCCUUCAUAAGUCACUGGCACAUGGCUCCUUCUUGGACCCUCCUUGGCAAACAGGACUAAGUCAAUCCUGGAUCCUUAUCUUGGACAUACAAAGGAAAAUUGUGAAAACUGAUGAGAAAGAUUGCAACAACUAAACUUUAUCUGGGCUGUAGGUGGCAGACCCAAACAGGUCUAGAGUCAUUCUGUCUUCACCCCUUAGCCCACUCCAUGUUCCAAGACUUCGUUUUCUGCUCAUUCCUGACCUACAUUGUAGUAGCUUCCAAGAUUUCUGCAGAUUCUUAUUGCUGUCUAGCCAAGGUGACUGAAGAACCCACAUGGGCUCUAGUUGAAAUGGGUGGAAUAGCACUAUUUAAUGACUCCUGGAUGUCUUUUAAUUGUUUGCAGAAAACUAUGAAAAUAACGAUGAAAAAGAUCAAGAUUCACUGAAUUCCAGGUAACAACAAAUAAUCUGAGGGUAGUAAAAAGGGUAAAAUAAGGGGUUAAGGAUGAUCCAAAAGGAUAGAUCACGAGGUCAAAAGUAGACACAUUUCAUGACCAAAUGUAAAGAAAGACUGCUGUUGGCAGUGAUGAUGUUGACUCAGCCCAGUAUGAUGGAGCCUUUAGCAAGGUUAACUUUUAUCUUCCUGGUGCUGGUACAGUGAGUCUGACUAAGAGGAACUGCGCAGUCAGCUUGGGGCAUUUCUUGCUUUUAAGGAAAUCAGUUGUUAACAUUAUAAGUUGUAAAAUCAGGAUUAGAGACAUACUAUCUUUCUAUACUAAUGGUCUGAGGUCACGGACAGGUAUGCCAUAGCAAGAAAAGCAGAAAUGAGUGUUAUGUCAAAAAAUGGAUAGAAAAAAUUCUAGAAGGCACAAGUUCUCUGGCCCUGUAUCAUGUAGCAGGGUGUAUUCACCUGCCAACUAUGUGUGUCAAUAUCAGUCAUGCACAAGGUUCAUCUACACCUAUGUUUCUUAUUAUGUGCUCCUUCUAUACUUUAUAGGUGGAGUCAAGCCUCCUUCCUCGUGAGCUUGUUAUCUGGCCAGUACACUGGACACUGGUGGCUCUCCCUCUUUCUUUCAUAUCAUGGCACCUACACUAUGUUCAUGUGAUGAAAAUGGUUUCCUGGAUCAUUUUUGAUGGGAAGUGCCUGUUUGGGGACUCCACCCUUCAGCUUUGAGUCAGGACCAGCUGGGAGGCUAUAGUUUCUAAACUGCCUUGAUUUUAUCUGUCAUUCUUCCCUGUCUCAGUAGUCUCAACAGUGAACUACAUGAGGAGAAAGAGAAUGAGCUCCUGCUGGACGAAAAAUAUUUUCUACCCUCUGGUCAUCUUGAUUCAUCUGACAUAAGAACUUUUCAGAAGCUCUGUCGUCCCACCAGAUGAGCCUAAAGUCAACUCUGCUGUGGAUGGAGCCAAGCUGAAUUUAGAUGCUUCCAUUUCAAUGAAAUAUCAUGUCAAGAUAGAGGAUGAUGCCCUUAAAGGAUCAUCUGACAACACAGAUGGUUUUCAAGAGCAUGUCUCAGUGUUGCCACAGAUUUCUGCAAACAGAAGAUAACUGGAAGAAAACUUUGGUUUAUCAAGUGGAAAAUAGCAUGCAGAUCCCCUGGCCUUCAGGCUUCAGAGCUGGAUUCAGAUGAUCAUCCAGGAAUGAAGAACUCUCCCAAGCUGGAAUGUGAUACCACAGAUGGCUCCUUCACCAACAAGCAUGGCCUCCCUAUCAUAGGCUGCAUUGAUGACUAUACUGCUCUCAGAGAAGAUUGAGGAGGGAAAACAGCUGGUGCAAAAGAUCCUGUCUCUCCUGAGGCCCACAUGCAACUUCCUGAGCUUUGAAUCUCAGAGCUCAGAGGUGACAUUCUUAAGGGACCUGCUAUGUGCUCCAGCCUUGAGACCCUUGCCUUCAAGGAGCCACACAAGAAGCAAAGCCACCACAGGACCCUAAAGCAUGAGGAAGCCUAGGCCUACCCCCCUCCCCACAUCUGAACAACUAUCUGCUAGACAGUUCCUUCAAAGCUAGUACAGGUUCGAAGAGGUGAUCAGAGAUGUCUCCUACUUGCGUAGACAGAAAGGCAGAAUGACUUUCUGGCAGUGAUGGAACACCAGUAGUCAAAUAGCACCAGGCCCAGCUCUAGGCAAAGUGCACCUAAGAUUGCAUAGUGAACCUUGUGACACUGCUUCUAAGCAGCCUCAGUGGCACAGCACCUGCCACAGCAGAGUUCUCACCUCAGCAGCUCUCCUCAGAUGAUCAGCUUGGGGGAAAUGGUUGCCUCCUACACAUGGGUCAUGUGGUCCCAAUGUGGAGCUCCUUGGCAGUUCUAGAAACUUCACAGAUUCACACCUGACCAGGUAGCUCCUCUAGGCCAAGCCAGGUUGGACUUUGCCCUACACCAUCAGGUCUGAUCUCUGAGUCCAUGUGAGGAAGGAAUGUGGUGACUUGCUAAGAGGCCCUCUCAUUCAUACCCUAGCACAGUCUGUUUCCUUUAUUAACAUGUUCUCCAAAUUUUACUGCCCCCUGCCCUCCCAUUAAGUAUGCUGUGCCAUUUUGUUAACCUAACUUCCCUCAGGGGAAUAUGAGACUGAUGUCCACACCAAGCCUAUGCACAGUCUUGCAUAUGGAAGCCUCUACUUGUUUCUUAGUGGUGUGGGCCAGGCCCCAGUUGUACUGAAGCCUCCUUUGUGUCUUCAGGGUGUUCCUAGGGUGUGAGUAGGUGUGUAUAAAUGUAAGAGAUUUAUUUAUGUUGCUGUAGCCAUACGUUGAAGGCCAACAUCAGUCAUGGACAGGUUAGGUAAAACUGAGUAAUGGUCUUUCAGUAGCUAUUUUAUUUUUUAAAGCAAAAUUUGUAUAAAUAGAUUCGUUUUGUCAGCUUUGUUUCCCAUUUCUACACCAGGCCCUAGAACAAGUGUUAAGAAUAGAAAAUAAACUAAGCCAAACCCAGAAAA